RNAcentral lists this transfer RNA (84 nucleotides) under Actinomycetota bacterium. RNAcentral describes it as "tRNA-Leu". It matches the Rfam family "tRNA". Rfam says of the family: Transfer RNA (tRNA) molecules are approximately 80 nucleotides in length. Lineage: Bacteria; Bacillati; Actinomycetota. RNAcentral also lists the same sequence under 1 other name. The record is from RNAcentral.
GCCGGGGUGGUGGAACUGGAAGACACGCGGCACUCAAAAUGCCGUGGGCUUCGGCCCGUGAGGGUUCGAGUCCCUCUCCCGGCA